RNAcentral lists this ribosomal RNA (468 nucleotides) under uncultured bacterium. Its description in RNAcentral is "partial 16S ribosomal RNA". It matches the Rfam family "Bacterial small subunit ribosomal RNA", at positions 28 to 507 of the family's 1533-position model. The record is from RNAcentral.
GACGAACGCUGGCGGCGUGCUUAACACAUGCAAGUCGAACGGAAAGGCCCCGCUUUUGUGGGGUGCUCGAGUGGCGAACGGGAGAGUAACACGAGAGUAACCUGACCUUGACUCUGGGAUAACUUCAGGAAACUGGGGCUAAUACCGGAUAGGAGCUCCUGCGGCAUGGUGGGGGUUGGAAAGUUUCGGCGGUUGGGGAUGGACUCGCGGCUUAUCAGCGUGUUGGUGGGGUAGUGGCUUACCAAGGCUUCGACGGGUAGCCGGCCUGAGAGGGUGACCGGCCACGUUGGGACUGCGAUACGGCCCAGACUCCUACGGGAGGCAGCAGUGGGGAAUAUUGCACAAUGGGCGGGAGCCUGAUGCAGCAACGCCGCGUGCGGGAUGACGGCCUUCGGGUUGUAAACCGCUUUCGCCUGGGACGAAGCGGGAGUGACGGUAAUGGGUAAAGAAGCACCGGCUAACUACGUG